GUGCCGUUAGCUCAGCAGAAGAGCUCCUGGCUCUUACCCAGGGGGUCGGUGGACCAAUACCACCACGGCACACCA
This 75-nucleotide transfer RNA is filed under the name Candidatus Sungbacteria bacterium RIFCSPLOWO2_02_FULL_51_17. Its description in RNAcentral is "tRNA-Lys". It matches the Rfam family "tRNA". Rfam says of the family: Transfer RNA (tRNA) molecules are approximately 80 nucleotides in length. The record is from RNAcentral. Lineage: Bacteria; Candidatus Sungiibacteriota.